Molecule: long non-coding RNA, 898 nt
Organism: Hyaena hyaena (striped hyena)
Lineage: Eukaryota; Metazoa; Chordata; Mammalia; Carnivora; Hyaenidae
Exons: 3
Source: RefSeq, a predicted model, not a curated record
ACCCGCCCCGGCCUCGCCGCCCCCGCCGCCCGCGCCCGGCCCGGCUCUUACCGCGGGGUCAACCGGGAGGCGGCGGCCGGAGCGCUCGCGCUGCCGCUGGUCCGCUCUGGGCUCGGCGCCAGCCCGGCCGCCGGUGCACAGUCGCGCGGGGCCCGGCCCGGCGGCCCGGUCGGCGGUGGACGCUGGUGCGCGGCGGGCGAGGGUCCCGGCAGGUCCCGCCGCCGCGACUGGGGCGCCGCGCCGCCGUUGCUGCAGACGGUUAUGGUAAUGAGCGGCUCUGUCUAGCGAGGAGCGUGUGAAACCCGUCAAUCCUGUUUGCCAUUUCCCCGUGGAUUUCCGAGGAGAGGUUCUGCAGGAUGCCCCCAGGCAAACGGAGAUGAGAAACAGAUGUCUUUGCAGGACGAAGCCGUUAUUCUCCCCUCGCCGCCGCCCCCGCCCGUUCCCCUCUGGAGCUGCAUUAUGUAUAAAAAAGCAACAUUGGUCCUACUGCAACCUGAAUUGGCAACUCUUUCUGGGUGGGGAGCCCCAAGGGAAUACCUCCAGGAAAUAAAAAAGCAAUAAAGGACGUUGUCCUUGGUCAAGGGAAUGUAAUUUAAGCCCUGGAAUCACAUUAUUUUGCAAAUAGCAAUUUUCCCCUAUAUUAGGCUCAAUUGGAGUUUGUUUUUUGAAACAUUAAUUCAUAACUUCUGUCUAGGGACUCCUCCAUAGCCGAGAUGGGUCAUUUCAGGUGUAAUGAACACAGGCUUGGAAGGCAUAGACCUAAUAAAAUCCGGGUGAUCCUCCGACUGUGAAAAACCAAACCUCUUGCUGCCUGGCUCCCUAGGAAUCAAGGAGAGGCACAGACUGAAAAUCAGGGAGGAAAGGAGUAAGAUCAAGGACGGGGAUUAGCAUCUGCAAA